UACAGAGGGUGCGAGCGUUGUUCGGAAUUAUUGGGCGUAAAGGGCGCGUAGGCGGUGCGGUAAGUCACCUGUGAAAUCUCCUGGCUCAACUGGGAGCUUGCAGGCGAAACUGCCGUGCUGGAGUGUGGCAGAGGGGGGUGGAAUUCCGCGUGUAGCAGUGAAAUGCGUAGAGAUGCGGAGGAACACCGAUGGCGAAGGCAGCCCCCUGGGCUAACACUGACGCUCAGGCACGAAAGCGUGGGGAGCAAACAGG
This 253-nucleotide ribosomal RNA is filed under the name uncultured bacterium. RNAcentral's name for it is "partial 16S ribosomal RNA". It matches the Rfam family "Bacterial small subunit ribosomal RNA", at positions 524 to 776 of the family's 1533-position model. The record is from RNAcentral.